AGCUUUAUGAUAUAACAUAAAGCAACUCCUGCUCAGUGAAUUUCAACAGCCGCAGCUUUAUUCUGUGCUAAGGUAGCAUAAUCACUUGUCUUUUAAUUAAAGAAUAGAAUGAAUGGAAAAAUGAAUUUUUAACUGUUUCAUUUAUAAUCAAUAAAACUACUAAAAAGUAAAAAUACUUUUGUACCUAAAAAAGACGACAAGACCCUAAAGAACUUAAACUACAGUUUUGCUGGGGUGGCAUAAAGAAAAAAAUCUUUUUCUAUAUCUAUUAAUUCUAAAUAUAACAUAUUAGUUACCUUAGGGAUAACAGCAUAAUUUUAUUUCACAGUUCUUAUCAAAAAUUAAGAUUAUGACCUCGAUGUUGAAUUAAAAUUCUUUUAAACGAAAAUUUUUAAUUAAGAAAGUCUGUUCGACUUAUGACCAUUUACA
This 429-nucleotide ribosomal RNA is filed under the name Dysdera sp. MD. Its description in RNAcentral is "partial 16S ribosomal RNA". It matches the Rfam family "Bacterial large subunit ribosomal RNA", at positions 1817 to 2600 of the family's 2925-position model. The record is from RNAcentral. Lineage: Eukaryota; Metazoa; Arthropoda; Arachnida; Araneae; Dysderidae.